UUUUUCGCCAAGGGGGAAAGCCUGACGGAGCAACGCCGCGUGAGUGAUGACGGCUUUCGGGUUGUAAAGCUUUGUGAUCGGGGACGAACGGUCCGUAAGCCAAUACCUUACGAAGUGACGGUACCCGAAUAGCAAGCCACGGCUAACUACGUGCCAGCAGCCGCG
Molecule: ribosomal RNA, 165 nt
Filed under: uncultured bacterium
Lineage: Bacteria
Description: partial 16S ribosomal RNA
Rfam family: Bacterial small subunit ribosomal RNA
Source: RNAcentral